Molecule: long non-coding RNA, 1582 nt
Organism: Herpailurus yagouaroundi (jaguarundi)
Lineage: Eukaryota; Metazoa; Chordata; Mammalia; Carnivora; Felidae
Exons: 3
Source: RefSeq, a predicted model, not a curated record
UCCUACCUCCUCCCCUCUGACAAACACCAGUUUGUUCUCUGUAUUUAUGGGUCUGUUUCUGCUUUUGUUUGUUCAUUUGCAAAACCCACAUUUUUAAUGAUCAAGCGUAGGAAACCAAAAUUCUACACCUUUGAGAGCACUCUUCCCUGGAUGAGAUUUUAAGUCAUUUCGACCUUGUUUUGUUAGAGGGACAGAAUUCAGUAGCCAGACAGCACAUAGUUUUCCUCUAUCUGACAAUGUGCCUGAGGACAGAAGUAGAUUCUAGAAAUCAGAUAAACAAGCAUCAGAGAUAAUCCACUCACGAAGCAAAACUUGAGGGAAUGUGUGGGUGGAAAUGUGAAUUCUAGGCUUAGUCUGGCUCAGAGUUGACUUGUGUCAAAGUUAAAGUAUUUCUCUUGUCUUUCAGCAGCAGCUAAUACAGGAAGAUACACCCGCCAUGAGCUUUAGUCGCAGCUCUACAUAAAUAGGUAUCAUGCUAAUAUCUGAUAUAUUCAGGAGGUCCCUGAAGAGCAAGAACUUUACUCACUAAUUCCUUAACUUUCCAAACCACAUUUUUAGGAGAAAUACUGACUGACCAACACCAAGGAGAAGCAUAAUAAAGUACUGGGAAUAUUCUGGAAACUUCCUGAAGAAACAGUAGAUGCAAUAAAGGAAGAAAAAGUCAACACUGCCUUUGUAUCCAAUGGCCCCUCGCUCUUAAACAGAAAAUCGAAAUUCUAAGGAAGGGAAGUGCAGGUUUCAGCCUCUCUUCACAUCGUUACAAGACGCCAGAUACCCCGUUCGGCUGCUGCUACAGACACCUGCCUCUCUCCCCACCCGGCACCGCUGUGCCUAUCCCAGGAAAAACAGAGAAGAGGAGUUGGGUACAGGACGACCUCUACACCAUUCAAGACCACACUUCAGUCUCGAAAUUUAAAGUUCGCCUUUAAGAAUUCCUGGCUAAUAUUUAGAACAACAGCAAUGUUGAUCGGACAGCUUCUCACAGACUGUCUAGAACUGCUCCAAACCAACCUCAAAGCUUCUCUAGACGGGGAAGGACCCUUAUCGGGUUCUCUAUCACCUACCUGGGGGCAUCUAUCACCGGGGUAGCCCUCAGAGAAAAAGGGCCCUAUUUCCCAGCAUGGGGGCAGGGAAGGUGCCUGCACACGCCGCGUCUUUCUAUUCAAUACCGAAUUAAGAGCUGGGUCCCGGUGGAAUUCUCUUUUACUAACUACUCUCCGAGGAACCCGCCAAUUCUGGCGGGGUUUGCUGGAUUCUAGUAAAACUCGGCUCACAUGGGGUGGGAUGUGAUGGGGAGGAGGAGGGAGGGAAGCGCAUCUCCUUUCUUCUAGAUAAUUGGGACCCAAGAAACGAGAAGGGGGUGGCGCAGUAGGGAGAGUUACUUACCGCCCUCCACCUGAAAUAAGCAAGACCAAUAACGCGCCUCGCUUUUCGCCCUGUUUACUCCAUCCCCAUUCAGUGAUUGGCAAAGCAGGCCCUGAAGGCAGAGGCAAUAAUUGCUCCGCGCUCUCCUUACUAGGGAUGUGUGUAGGCAUUUGAAGUGUACUAAAAAUAAACGAAGGAGCGAGAAAAUGAAAAGGGG